RNAcentral lists this ribosomal RNA (875 nucleotides) under Umbilicaria cylindrica. RNAcentral describes it as "eukaryotic LSU rRNA". It matches the Rfam family "Eukaryotic large subunit ribosomal RNA", at positions 78 to 971 of the family's 3401-position model. Lineage: Eukaryota; Fungi; Ascomycota; Lecanoromycetes; Umbilicariales; Umbilicariaceae. The record is from RNAcentral.
CCUCAGUAACGGCGAGUGAAGCGGCAACAGCUCAAAUUUGAAAUCUGGCCGUUCGGCGGUCCGAGUUGUAAUUUGUAGAGGAUGCUUCGGGUGCGGCGCCGGUCUAAGUUCCUUGGAACAGGACGUCAGAGAGGGUGAGAAUCCCGUAUGUGACCGGUGACCCAGCCCGUGUGAAGCUCCUUCGACGAGUCGAGUUGUUUGGGAAUGCAGCUCUAAAUGGGUGGUAAAUUUCAUCUAAAGCUAAAUACCGGCCAGAGACCGAUAGCGCACAAGUAGAGUGAUCGAAAGAUGAAAAGCACUUUGGAAAGAGAGUUAAAAAGUACGUGAAAUUGUUGAAAGGGAAGCGCUUGUGACCAGACUUGCUCGCGGGCGAUCAGCCGUCCUUCUGGGCGGUGCACUCGCCCGUGAUCAGGCCAGCAUCGGUUCGGGCGGCCGGAUAACGGCCCCGGGAAUGUGGCUCCCCUCGGGGAGUGUUAUAGCCCGGGGCGCAAUGCGGCCCGCCGGGACCGAGGACCGCGCUUCGGCUAGGAUGCUGGCGUAAUGGUCGUAAGCGACCCGUCUUGAAACACGGACCAAGGAGUCUAACAUCUGUGCGAGUGUUUGGGUGUCAAACCCAUGCGCGGAAUGAAAGUGAACGGAGGUGGGAACCCUUCAGGGUGCACCAUCGACCGAUCCUGAUGUCUUCGGAUGGAUUUGAGUAAGAGCAUAGCUGUUGGGACCCGAAAGAUGGUGAACUAUGCCUGAAUAGGGUGAAGCCAGAGGAAACUCUGGUGGAGGCUCGCAGCGGUUCUGACGUGCAAAUCGAUCGUCAAAUUUGGGUAUAGGGGCGAAAGACUAAUCGAACCAUCUAGUAGCUGGUUCCUGCCGAAGUUUCC